GACGAACGCUGGCGGCGUGCUUAACACAUGCAAGUCGAACGGAAAGGCCCUGCUUUUGUGGGGUGCUCGAGUGGCGAACGGGUGAGUAACACGUGAGUAACCUGCCCUUGACUUUGGGAUAACUUCAGGGAACUGGGGCUAAUACAGGAUAGGAGCUCCUGCUGCAUGGGGGGGGUUGGAAAGUUUCGGCGGUUGGGGAUGGACUCGCGGCUUAUCAGCUGGUUGGUGGGGUAGUGGCUGACCACGGUUUUGACGGGUAGCCGGCCUGAGAGGGUUGCCGGCGACAUUGGGACUGAGAGACGGACCAGAAUCGUACGGGAGGCAGAAGUGGGGAAUAUUGCACAAUGGGCGGAAGCCAGAUGCAGCAACGCCGCGUGCGGGAUGACGGCUUUCGGGUUGUAAACCGCUUUCGCCUGUGACGAAGCGUGAGUGACGGUAAUGGGUAAAGAAGCACCGGCUAACUACGUG
This 468-nucleotide ribosomal RNA is filed under the name uncultured bacterium. RNAcentral describes it as "partial 16S ribosomal RNA". It matches the Rfam family "Bacterial small subunit ribosomal RNA", at positions 28 to 507 of the family's 1533-position model. The record is from RNAcentral.